AACGUAGGGUGCAAGCGUUGUCCGGAAUUACUGGGUGUAAAGGGAGCGCAGGCGGACCGGCAAGUUGGAAGUAAAAUCUAUGGGCUCAACCCAUAAAUUGCUUUCAAAACUGCUGGCCUUGAGUAGUGCAGAGGUAGGUGGAAUUCCCGGUGUAGCGGUGGAAUGCGUAGAUAUCGGGAGGAACACCAGUGGCGAAGGCGACCUACUGGGCACCAACUGACGCUGAGGCUCGAAAGCAUGGGUAGCAAACAGG
This 253-nucleotide ribosomal RNA is filed under the name uncultured bacterium. Its description in RNAcentral is "partial 16S ribosomal RNA". It matches the Rfam family "Bacterial small subunit ribosomal RNA", at positions 524 to 776 of the family's 1533-position model. The record is from RNAcentral.